GAUGAACGCUGGCGGCGUGCCUAAUACAUGCAAGUCGAGCGAACGGACGAGGAGCUUGCUCCUCUGACGUUAGCGGCGGACGGGUGAGUAACACGUGGAUAACCUACCUAUAAGACUGGGAUAACUUCGGGAAACCGGAGCUAAUACCGGAUAAUAUUUUGAACCGCAUGGUUCAAUAGUGAAAGACGGUCUUGCUGUCACUUAUAGAUGGAUCCGCGCCGCAUUAGCUAGUUGGUAAGGUAACGGCUUACCAAGGCAACGAUGCAUAGCCGACCUGAGAGGGUGAUCGGCCACACUGGAACUGAGACACGGUCCAGACUCCUACGGGAGGCAGCAGUAGGGAAUCUUCCGCAAUGGGCGAAAGCCUGACGGAGCAACGCCGCGUGAGUGAUGAAGGUCUUCGGAUCGUAAAACUCUGUUAUUAGGGAAGAACAAAUGUGUAAGUAACUAUGCACGUCUUGACGGUACCUAAUCAGAAAGCCACGGCUAACUACGUG
This 497-nucleotide ribosomal RNA is filed under the name uncultured bacterium. RNAcentral describes it as "partial 16S ribosomal RNA". It matches the Rfam family "Bacterial small subunit ribosomal RNA", at positions 28 to 507 of the family's 1533-position model. The record is from RNAcentral.